AUUUAGCGUUAGCUAUUGCAGCGGCAUCCUUUUUUGGCCUGACUCCUGCAAGGUUUCUAAAACCUUGUAGGUAUCACGGUUAGUUAGGGGCUCAAGUCCUACAAGGUUUCCAAAACCUUGCAGGACUGCUUGAUAUGAGCCAAAAAAGAUAUAGCGGAAAGAGCGACCCUCU
Molecule: small RNA, 172 nt
Filed under: Arenibacter echinorum
Lineage: Bacteria; Pseudomonadati; Bacteroidota; Flavobacteriia; Flavobacteriales; Flavobacteriaceae
Description: Flavo-1 RNA
Rfam family: Flavo-1 RNA
Source: RNAcentral